Non-coding RNA from Momordica charantia (bitter melon), 552 nucleotides. The record is from RefSeq and is a predicted model, not a curated record. Lineage: Eukaryota; Viridiplantae; Streptophyta; Magnoliopsida; Cucurbitales; Cucurbitaceae.
GCUUUGCUUGUCCUAUGACUUGGGUUUCAGUUCUCUCUCUCUCUCCUUUAAAAACAUAAACACUGUAAACUGGUUGUGCUCUGUUCAGAAGAAUCUGAGAUUUCAUUUCUGAUCUGGAAAACCAAAAAAAGAUGAGAACCCAGAUCUUGGUUCUCGGUUUCUUCUUCUGUUUUCUUCUCUUGAGCUCCUCUUUCAUGGAUUCCGCCAUGGCCAACGGAGAUGUGUGCACGAGGCCGUGUCGAAAGAGGUGCUCGCGAGCGGGGCUAAAGCGUCGGUGCAUGAAGUACUGCAGACUGUGCUGCGGCAAAUGCAAGUGCGUUCCCAGCGCUGGGGCUUACGGCAGGCACCACUGCCCUUGCUACAGCCACAUCCACACCUAUAAGGGCAGGACCAAGUGCCCUUAAAUUUAAGCCCACUGUGCCCUACAAAAGCCAACCACCCCCAAUAAUUUUGUGUCUCAAUUAUUAUUUCUUAAAGCUUGAGGUUUGGUGUGUCAUGUGUGUGCUGUGCUUUAAUAAAUAAUAAUAUAAUGUGUAUGUAUUUAUCUACUUC